AGGCAUCAAUACUUUUAUUUACCGUUUUCUUUUAAGAGGAUUAUGCAUCGCGAUGGAUUGGUAUCUAGCAUACAUCUUUAUCAUGAGGUUUUCUUCUCAAUGACGAUUCUAACUGCUGUAUGAGUUCAUUAAAGAAGAGAAUGUUGUUUGCUGGUUUUACAGCGGCAAAGAAGACAAUAAUACAGAACUGGUUUACUCCGCACAUGUGAGCAAAAACACAUGUACAAAAUGUACAACAGCACAAAUCAACAAGGCUAAACCCAGUACCACUGAUGCAUGGCAAUAUUUUUCUUCCAACAUUUUGGACUAUAUAUAGGAAUGAAAAUAUAAUGUAUUUUUUUUCUCUCUCUCUCUUCCCCUUUCAGAUUGUAAAAUUAUUGAUAAUAUGUCUGUUGCUCUCCCUUCCCCAUUUUUUCUUUUUUUUUUGUUUGAAUGGAUGUUUUGUUAAAUCUAUAGACAAUAAAAAAUUGAUCACAAAAAACAAAACAAACAAACAAAAAAAAAAAAACAGCACAACACCUUCAGUCUUUUAAAGACAACUUCAACAAGGGUGUGUAAGCCUAAUAGAGGGAUGAACAAACAGAAAGUCCAGGGUGGUGCAGGUGGAGGAACUGACCAGGGGAUGGUCUUGAACAAGAACAGACAGAUGCUGACCCAGACCACAGCCAGGACUAAGUCGUCUCAAGCUGGUUUUGUGAUCUUGACAAUCAGUUCAAUGUUCUUCAGUGGCCUUCAAGAUCACAGAUCUGAAUCCAACAGAAAACCUUUGGUACAAUAAGAGAUCUGCAGAUAUUAUGGGAUUCAAUCAUGUCAACAUGGAGCAGAAUCCAGAAACCAUCUUGGAAACCUUUUAUCACGCCUUCAUUAUUAGUUUUUACUGCUUUGUAAAUGUGUUUUUAUCUUAUAUCUUAGAUUUUUUUACACUCUUGUCCCAGACUCAAACGUUCAGUCUAAGCCUGUGAAAAUCCAUCAAAGAUAUCUUAAUAUUACUACAUUUUAAAUCUAUGAUGACCUAAUAAACAAAGAGUGAAAUAAACUGAAACAAAUAUUCAAAAAUGAUGAUCAUAGUUUCAGCAUCAUUUCCAACUGUUUAAGAGACAAUAGUGUCAGUGGAGAUGAUUGAGAUUAAAUAUGAGACAUGUGAUGUAUGUGGAAAACAGAGAAAUAAACAUAAAUAUCAGUUAUGAAUGCAAUAUUUGUACUGAUUAUGAUCAUGAUGAAAAAUGAGGCUUAUUGCAGAAUUAACAGUGAUUAACAAUAAAACAUCUAAACUAAAUUUGCAGAUGAUUCCAUUCAUUUCCAUAAUAAUAUACUGGACAAUGAAUAAUAAUUAUGUAAAUGUACAUUGUUCAGUAAUCACAUAAAUGUACACUGUUCUUAAAGAGACAUCUUCACUAUGGUGUAUAAAUACACUGAUGACUUUGAUGCCAUCACUGAUCAGUCUGACAGUUGAACUGAGUUUGUUAUGAACUGUAACAUGACGACACAUUCAGUCAGCUGCAGUAUCUCAGUAAAGGCUGUUGAACUGAACUGUUAGACGCUCCAUUACUGACACUGCAGUUCCACACAGUAGAAGAGCACAGUGUGUUUUAAUGCUGCUGGAGCUCAUGGAUGUUGUUCAGUACCAGAGAACUGAGAAAUCUUCCACCCUGAACACUGAUAUUGUGUCAUUCAGAAACACAAUUAAACCAAAGAGCUGCUGCAGUUUAUUACAUCAACUAAUAAUGAGCCCAGAACAGUGUAGAAUGAAUGAUAGAAAGUGUUCAGUGACCUUACAAAAUAUUAAUAAUGACCAAAUCAAUAAUAUACAGGAUUCUGUCAAUAGACUUCAGAAAUGUGUGUAUAAUUGUUUGACAUGUUUCACAACAUGAGGAAGUUGUUGGAAAAUGUGUUUGUGACUGAUCUACAGUCUUCAGGAUAAUGAUUUAAAUAGAGAGAGUCACUUUGCAUUGUCACACAUGCUUCAGUGCUCUGAGAGUGUUUAUAGUGCUGUGAGUUUAACACUUCAUGACUGAGAGCAGAACAGAACACAAUCUUCACCAUCACACAAGACAAAAGAACAACAAUGAACACAAUCACCUUCUUCAUCUGGACAUUGAUCUGUAU
Molecule: long non-coding RNA, 2106 nt
Organism: Ctenopharyngodon idella (grass carp)
Lineage: Eukaryota; Metazoa; Chordata; Actinopteri; Cypriniformes; Xenocyprididae
Exons: 3
Source: RefSeq, a predicted model, not a curated record